This is a non-coding RNA of Meleagris gallopavo (turkey), 1349 nucleotides long. The record is from RefSeq and is a predicted model, not a curated record. Lineage: Eukaryota; Metazoa; Chordata; Aves; Galliformes; Phasianidae.
CUUUAAAUCAAACAGCCAGACAUUAUUUCUUGCCAGACAAAACUCACCAUAGUUGCUUAAUUAAAUGAAUAGAAAGAAAACAUGUAGAAGUAAACCUGUCCCAGCAGCAAUCACUGCCAGCCUCAGGUUUGCUUCUUGGUUUCAGAUUUCUCUUCCUGAUAUACACAGAUAACUAUAUAAUGCAGGCAGCAUUAAGUAUGUGGACUUCAGCCUUAAUUACCAGUAAUGAGGCUCAUAAAAAUUUUCCCAUAUAGGAUGAAGGGCAACUGUUCAAGUACACACUGCAGGAUACACCUGGAGAGUGUGAUGGAAGUUUUCUGGUCUACUACUUGACCAUUUGACCAGAGGAGGGGCUCUGUGGAUUCUGGAAUUAAGGGUAUUUCUGUGAUUGCAUCUAGACUGCAACAGCAAAUCUGGGACAUUUCUGAAGGCCCUAACUACCACUGCUUUUGGAGAAGACAGGAGAGAGGAUGCCCUGCAAUGAACAUCUUCCAGGCUUACUAUUACCAGAGGUACAGAGCUGCCAUGUGCCCUCAUGAGGAUACUUGACCCUGCAGCCCCCACAAGAGCUCCCUCCCAAUCCCCAAUUAUGCUGCAGAAACUUUGCAUGAAACUGUAGUUUCAAGACUUCAUUAUUUCUAACCACAACCAUUCAAAAGGCAUGUGUACAAGAUCGUGCUGUCUUCUCUUUGCAGAACUGAGAAAACAAACAACUCCCGAGCAUAUAAAGUCACACUGCCCCAUUUUAUAGCAGUGUCUGUUCAAGGAUUUUUCAAGAAAGUCAUCUCUGUCCUUUGUGAUAUCAGUGGAGUGAACUAUUCCUGAAAUUACAGCUGUUUUUCUCUUCGGGGUCAACCUGCACUGUGUAGGAGCCAUUCAUAUGUUAUCCAUACCAGAGGCAUAUCUAAGAUAACUCCACCUGCACAUCAUGUAUGUCCUGCAAAUGUUCUUCCUCACAGUACAAGCAGGUAUUCCUUAAAAAGAAACACAACACUCAAAUAAGAAUUAUAUUUGGAACAAGACUUGCCCAGGGUGAUAAAAACUCUUCUGCCAGGCAGUGAAAGGGCAAGGGCUGACAUCUGAGCAGUUUUAAUGAGUUUCCUGUAACUGCACAAAGUCCAACGGCACCCUAUGCUUCCAGUAACUGCAUUGUUUUACUUCAAGUGAAAGCCAGUUCAGCCAAGAAGAAACACCACUGAGGUGAGAAUUCUUUCAAGACUGGCCUUUUAGAAAAGGAUUGGAGAAAGCAGAAAGCAGGAGAUGUCUUGGAAACCAGAACUUCCUCUCUCUGCGCCUGCUAUAACGAUACGUGAGAGUGCUUUCAGCAAUGUACCACAGCCUGCCACUCA